This is a non-coding RNA of Rhodocollybia butyracea, 98 nucleotides long. NCBI's taxonomy places the organism in Eukaryota, Fungi, Basidiomycota, Agaricomycetes, Agaricales, Omphalotaceae. The record is from the annotation of a GenBank genome assembly.
UCCCUGGUAGUAUAUCGGCUAGUACACGCGCCUGUCAUCGUAUGUCGGCAAUUGAUUUGUGUGCGCGCGAAAGCUGGGUUCGACUCCCAGCCAGGGAG